This 574-nucleotide ribosomal RNA is filed under the name Glomeromycotina sp. Its description in RNAcentral is "eukaryotic LSU rRNA". It matches the Rfam family "Eukaryotic large subunit ribosomal RNA", at positions 115 to 615 of the family's 3401-position model. The record is from RNAcentral. Lineage: Eukaryota; Fungi; Glomeromycota.
UUUAAAUCUACCUGGGUUUCCAGGUCGAGUUGUAAUUUGAAGAAGUGUUUUUUACUUUCCGGGUUGGGUUAAAUCCUUUGGGAUAAGGUAUCAUGGAGGGUGAGAAUCCCGUGUAUACCAACCGCAGGAUYGUUUAAUAUACACUUUCUAAGAGUCGAGUUGUUUGGGAAUGCAGCUCUAAAUGGGUGGUAAAUUUCACCUAAUGCUAAAUAUAAGCGAGAGACCGAUAGCGAACAAGUACCGUGAGGGAAAGAUGAAAAGAACUUUGAAAAGAGAGUUAAAUAGUACGUGAAAUUGUUGAAAGGGAAACGGUURAAGUCAGUCAUGCCGGCGGGAAUCAACUUAGGGGAAACUCUGAGUGCACUUCUUCGCYUGGCAGGUUAGCGUCGAUUUUGGAUGUCAUAAAAUGACUGGGGGAAGGUAGCUCUUUCGGGAGUGUUAAGCCCUURGUAGAUGUGAUGUCCGGGAUCGAGGAUUGCAACGGAUACCUUUUGGGCUARCCGCCUAGUCUCUAAWAYGAAGUUGGGUUAUGGACAGCACGCUGACUGUGAUCUGAUUUUCGGUUAAAAGAUUA